RNA transcript from Mus musculus (house mouse), 13966 nucleotides. It is a transcript of the gene named leucine rich repeat and fibronectin type III domain containing 5, with no coding region annotated. The record is from RefSeq and is marked validated. The transcript has 7 exons. NCBI's taxonomy places the organism in Eukaryota, Metazoa, Chordata, Mammalia, Rodentia, Muridae.
CACACACACACACACUCACACACAGACUAGGGAACACUGGAAGUCGGCCUUCAGUGCCUGGGAGUUUCAGCGAGAAGCUCUUAGGCUGGGAUUUUUUCCGCCAGGUUGGAGCUAAUCACUUGUCACAGUGCCUAAUGACACAGCCUGGCUGGGUGACACCUUUUUUUUUUUUUUAAUUUUUAUUAUUUUUUUUUAAAUUUAAAUCAUUAUUCCCUUAUUCACAGGUCAGUGGGCGACUAGAUCAGGCAGUUCAUUUCCAACAGAGGGAUGCCCCAGAAGUUAGCUUUCUCCCUUCAGGUUUUCCACCGCUUCCCCUCCCCCCUUCCUGCAACGCCCCCGCGCCUCCUCUGCUUAGGGAUUUGUAGGCACGGCGCUAACCCUCUCCUUGCGCCCGCGGAAAAUCGGUUCUCUGAACACAUCCAGCCCGAAGUCUCAAAGGCCGAGAGCACAGCUGCUACUGCUUGGGGUGUCUCCUGUUUCUAGGGUUCUGGGAGGUGCGGCCGUUCUCGUCACUGCAGCUAGGGACCGGCUCUCGGCCGCGCGCCCGCCGCCGCCGCCGCCGCCGCCGCCUCCAUGCUGCAGCGCGGAGCGCAGCUCCUCUGGGCCGGCGUUGCCUGCUCGCACCACGCUGGGGAGCGGCUCUCCCAGGCCUGCCGGGGCGGCGGCUGCCUGCCCGGACUGCAGCUUCCCGCCUUGAGCCUGAGCUGAGGACUCGUCCCAGGGCCUCAGCCAGCGGGAGGGGCGCCCACCGCGCUGUGUGCAGCGGCGCAGGGAGGUGGUGAGCCCGUGCAGAGCAGCCGGAGCUGUGUGUGUGUGUGUGUGUGUGUGUGUGUGUGUGUGUGUGUGUGUGUGUGUGUGUGUGUGUGUUCGCCUGCGAGCUUUUCUUCUUCCCUUGAAGAUGUGAGAUGUGAAUGGCUUCUUAGCUAGCUGGUCCUUAGGAUUCUGGACUUUGUGGAGCUGUGGGCACAACGCACCCAUGUAAUUCAUGUUGUGUGGUCGGUUAUCUUAGGGGAAAAAAAAAAGGCGCAACUCGACGGGGGUGGGGCAGAUCCAGGAAACAUUCUGGAAAGGAGAAAUAGAAAGAGAGAGGCGUAGAAAUGUGAAUAUUGAAAGACCUGAGAAGACUUUUGGAAUCUCCCGGCUGGCCCUUCAGUUUUCCCGGCACUAAUCUGGAGGUUUUCCACCUUUUCAAGUCAUCUUGGUGUUCCUCUAGUGUUUUGUAAGCCUCUUUUCAGCUAGCUGCGUGUGUGUAUGCGUGUGUUUGUGCGCCUGUGUAUGUGCGCGCGCCUAUCAGAUGCAUUUGACAGUCUUUUUUCCAACUGCCCAGAAGCAAACGUGUUAACUCAGAGAUGCCCCUCCGUGCCCAGGUUCUCGCAGAGCAUGGAGGACACCCAGACCGGUUUUCCAGGCUGGAUUCUGGGAGGCUGAUGGGCUGUGAACCCAGGUGUAAGGAUCACUUAAUCCAGAGGCUUGGAAAGUGGCUGUAUUAACGAGCUUCCAGGUACAUCGCAAGGUCAAGAGAGGGACUUGCAGCUGUAUUAAUUCCCUGCAUCUUGACUUUCCUGUUUUGGUCCGAAGAAUAUGAAUGUGUCUGUCCACAACAUUUGAAGCCCAAACUUCAGCACUCCGAGCUGGUUUACUGUACAAACAAGGUAAUGAGGAUUGCUUUUCAAACUGCUUAACGAAUCCCCGACGCUUCCACAGCCCUUCCAGGACUCCCUUUCUGCCCAGCGAAAUGUCACCAGCUUUUGAAUUCCAAGGAUUUGGCUGCAGGAGAACUUGAAGGAAACGUGAUCAAAGGGCUAUGUGAGAACGCGACUGCUCUUUUUGCCGGUAGGCUGGUGGGCUUCCGGACCGGAUCUUGAGAAGGACCAGAACUGUUUCUCCCUCCCGGUGCGGUUCUGGGAGUGCUUGUGCAAGUGUGAGUGCGCGCGCGCCCGGCUGAGAAUGUGUGAGUGUGUGUGAGCGUGUCUCUGUGUGUGCGCGGCCGCCCUGCUUCUGCCCGCUCCCCGGGCGCGGAGCCACCGGUUUGGGCGAUUUGCGCUGAUUCCCCACCCAGCGCGACCUGCGAGCAGCGAAGGCAGGGGCAGGAGCCACCUCUCUGACUCCCUAGGAUGCGGGUGCUGAGCUAUGGCAAAGGGCAGCGAAGUGAUGAGCUAGACCCCAGUACGACUGUGAAAGCCACCUGGAGCCACCUUGCCUGGAUCUUACCUGCCGGCAGAAAGUCUUCCUAUGACCGUCUUUCCCCCUAGAGGCACCAGAGCUCCUGUAUCCAUUCAGCCGGGUAUUGAGAAGAUAUGUAGUAGCUGACAACCUUCUGUCUGACAGCACUCUCAGAACCAGCAUUGGAAAUGCGUUCACCCUGCCGGUCUUCUGCAGCAGCCAGGCCACGUGCUGACUCCUUCACGGUAGUAAGGAACUCUCCAGGCUUCAGAAGCUCUUAAUCCUGAUCUACAAUGGAAAAAUUCCUUUUUUACCUGUUUCUCAUUGGCAUAGCUGUGCGAGCUCAGAUCUGUCCAAAGCGUUGUGUCUGUCAGAUUUUGUCUCCAAAUCUUGCAACCCUUUGUGCCAAGAAAGGGCUUCUAUUUGUUCCACCAAACAUUGACAGAAGAACUGUGGAGCUACGGCUGGCAGACAAUUUUGUUACAAAUAUCAAAAGGAAAGAUUUUGCCAAUAUGACCAGCUUGGUGGACCUGACUCUAUCCAGGAAUACAAUAAGUUUUAUUACACCCCAUGCUUUUGCUGAUCUACGAAAUUUGAGAGCACUGCAUUUGAAUAGCAACAGAUUGACUAAAAUUACAAAUGAUAUGUUCAGUGGGCUUUCCAAUCUCCACCAUUUGAUAUUGAACAACAAUCAGCUGACUUUAAUUUCUUCCACAGCCUUCGAUGAUGUUUUUGCCCUUGAGGAGCUGGACCUGUCCUAUAAUAAUCUAGAAACGAUUCCCUGGGAUGCUGUAGAGAAGAUGGUGAGCUUGCACACCCUUAGUUUGGAUCACAAUAUGAUUGACAACAUUCCUAAGGGUACUUUCUCCCACUUGCACAAGAUGACUCGGCUAGAUGUAACAUCAAAUAAACUGCAAAAGCUGCCUCCUGACCCUCUGUUUCAGCGAGCACAGGUGCUGGCCACCUCAGGAAUCAUAAGCCCAUCGACUUUUGCAUUGAGUUUUGGUGGAAACCCCUUGCAUUGCAAUUGUGAGUUGCUGUGGCUGAGGCGAUUGUCUCGAGAAGAUGACCUUGAGACGUGUGCUUCUCCUGCACUUUUAACUGGUCGUUAUUUUUGGUCAAUUCCUGAGGAAGAGUUUUUGUGUGAGCCUCCGCUCAUCACUCGUCAUACACAUGAGAUGAGAGUCUUGGAGGGUCAAAGGGCAACACUGAGGUGCAAAGCUCGAGGAGACCCUGAACCUGCGAUUCAUUGGAUUUCCCCUGAAGGGAAGCUGAUUUCAAAUGCAACACGAUCUCUGGUGUAUGAUAACGGGACACUUGACAUCCUUAUAACAACUGUAAAAGAUACAGGAGCUUUUACCUGUAUUGCUUCCAAUCCGGCAGGGGAAGCAACACAAACCGUGGAUCUUCACAUAAUUAAACUCCCUCACCUACUAAACAGCACCAAUCAUAUCCAUGAGCCUGAUCCUGGUUCUUCUGAUAUCUCCACAUCCACUAAGUCAGGCUCGAAUGCUAGCAGUAGUAAUGGUGAUACAAAAAUGAGUCAAGAUAAAAUCGUGGUGGCAGAAGCAACUUCGUCAACAGCAUUACUAAAAUUUAAUUUUCAAAGAAAUAUUCCCGGAAUCCGUAUGUUUCAAAUCCAGUACAAUGGUACUUAUGAUGACACCCUUGUUUACAGGAAGUCACGUUGGGAGGCUAUCCCAUUACCCCAAAGAUGCAGCCAUUGCUCAAAGCAGUUUUGGAGUUAUCUUUAGAACCUUCGGCAUACUAUUUUGAAUAUCCUCAGUGGUGGCAAAUCUUCGUCUUUGAGGAAUGAUACCUCCUACGAGCAAAACAUUUCUGGUCAAUAAUCUGGCAUCUGGAACUAUGUAUGACUUGUGUGUCUUGGCCAUCUAUGACGAUGGCAUCACUUCCCUCACUGCCACAAGAGUCGUGGGUUGCAUCCAGUUUACUACGGAACAGGAUUAUGUCCGUUGCCACUUUAUGCAGUCCCAGUUCUUGGGUGGCACCAUGAUUAUUAUCAUUGGUGGAAUCAUUGUUGCAUCCGUGUUGGUUUUCAUCAUCAUACUAAUGAUCCGGUAUAAGGUUUGUAACAAUAAUGGGCAACACAAGGUCACGAAGGUUAGCAACGUUUAUUCUCAGACUAAUGGGGCUCAGAUGCAAGGCUGCAGUGUCACGCUGCCCCAGUCCAUGUCCAAACAAGCCAUGGGCCAUGAAGAGAAUGCCCAGUGCUGUAAAGUUGCCAGUGACAAUGCAAUUCAGUCUUCAGAAACAUGUUCGAGUCAGGACUCUUCUACCACUACCUCUGCUUUGCCUCCUACCUGGACUUCAAGUGCGCCUGUGUCUCAAAAGCAGAAAAGAAAGACUGGCACGAAGCCAAGUGCUGAGCCGCAGAGUGAAGCUGUCACAAAUGUUGAGUCCCAAAACACUAACAGGAACAACUCAACUGCCUUGCAGUUAGCUAGCUGCCCUCCUGAUUCUGUUACAGAGGGGCCCACAUCUCAAAGAGCACAUACCAAGCCAAAUGCUUUGCUGACUAAUGUUGAUCAGAAUGUCCAGGAAACACAGAGGCUGGAGUCCAUAUGAAGAGCAACACUUCUCUCUCUCUCCUGAGAACAGUUGCCCCUAAUAUUUUUACUGGAUAAAAUUUGAAAAUGUUUCAGUUCACAGCUGUGGAUUGUUGAACUGCUUGUCCCAGAACGAAUUGCUCAUGGGAGCCAAAGCUACAAGGUCUCUGAUGUGGUGAAACUGGCUCCCUCCCAACAUGGUUCAUCCCCUUUUAAAACCAAAUUUUUUUCUUCUGAUCUACAAAUAUUUUUUUUAAUAAAGGAAAAAGAACAAGCCUUCAUUGGCAUCAAGUUCUGUAUCAAAUCCAUCCUACAUUGCCAUCCAUGAUUUAACAGACUGUAGAAUCUUGAAUAAUCUAUAUCACUUUAACAAAUAAAUGUUUUACUAUGACACAAUUUGCACAUUGCCUUAUUUUGGGACUACCUUUUGCUUCAAGCCUAAAUGGUGGUGUGGAUUAUUUUUACAUAAAAUUAUAUGUUUUAAUAACCAAGUUCUUUUAUACCUAUGAAAUAAAAAUCUUUAGGAAUUCCAAAUUGCUCAAUAAUAGAAUAAACUUUUCGUUAGGGUUGUGCCUAUGUCUACAGGAGGGGAAAACAACUAUUUGAACUCAUUUAUAGCAGCUGCAUUAUUCCGUGUAAGAUGCAAAGUGUUCAGUCCUCUAUCUCCUAAUGGACCAUCAGAAAAGGAGCAGUUUGGCAAAAGUAUAGAUCGGCUUUGACUAAAGAACAAAGAAAACGGUAAAUUUUAAUAACUUGGUCAGGCUUAUGUGUCAUGGUCAGAAUCUUUUCUCCAUCAUUUCACAUUUUCAGAGAAAAAAAAAAAAAAAACAACCCUCAAACCCUCACAUUUAUGUUAACCCCAGAAUAUUUAGAAAUUUAAUAACGUUGAAGUCCAUAAUGUGAAUAAAGCCACACUCAGAUGUUAUCCAACUUUAGCAUUUUAGAGUAUAUACUAGACUAAAGCAUCAGGAACAGUUUCUGGUCUUAUUCUAAAUUGUCACAAUUAUUUGAGUAAAACUUGAAGCUGAAUAUGACCUACCUUAAUUUGGUAUGAGAUGUAAGUUUAAUGAAAUUCAAGUAGUAAUUUUCUUUACUAGUGAUUUUUUUUCCAAAUGUACCAGAUCAUAAUUGGUUUUCUCCACAUUAAAAGCAGCAACCUGUUGCACUAGGCAAAAAAUACAUGCACACUUCCCAGGCAUGACAAAUGCGUGCUUAAAAUGGAAGCCAUUUGCUUGAGUUGGACUAUUGGUGAUGAUUUUUGAUGUGGGAAUUUGUUUCAUUCUCUGUUUGUUGACAAGUUUGAUUCUUUGGAAAAUUGUGUGUGUGUGUGUGUUUGUGUGUGUGCGCGCGUACAAAUGUUUAUGUUGAAGAAAUGGAUAUACACUAAGCAAUGAAAGCUGGCAUAGAAGAGUUCUUCUAUCAUAUUUCUUUUCUCUUCCAAUGUGCAAAUGCCAGGCAAUGGUGAUUCUGUAUCACAGUCUAGAGAGUAUUUCAAGGCUUGUUUUGGAGAUGGUCCCAUUUUUGCCCCUACUCCAUCCUUGCAUUUCUUGUUGGUGAUACUUACCUAGUGUUCUGAGCAGAGUCUUUCACUACUUGUUUUUGUUUUUGUUUUUUAGGAAAAUCACCAUAAUUUUCUGUUCUAUAGAGUAUACUUUUAAUGUAUUAAAAUGAAAUUAUUUAAUUUCUUGCUCUACAUUUCCAACAAUAAACAAAAGUCUUGCAUUUGCAGCAUAUUCAGUCAUGCAUUAAGCAAGCUAUCAUAAUGUUUACAUAAAAAUAAUCAUUAUUAUGAAGAAUCUCCAUAUAUGAUUCUCCAGGUAAGCAAUAAGGAAUAAUUUUGUGCAAUGACAUACAUGGAUACAUUUUUAAAUUUUAAUAUGUUUUAUGUAUUUAUUUUGUACAUAUGUAUGUAUGCAUGAUGUAUGGAUAUGCAUAUGCCAUGGCAUACAUGUGGAGUUGAAGGGACAAUUUCAAUGAACAGGUUUCUCCUUCUACCAUAUCUUCUAUAUUGGAGAUUGAACUCAAAUUAUCAGAGUUGGUGGCAGGUACCUUCACCCUAUUAGCUAUGUCACUGGAUCCAAACUCCCCAACAUUAAGGAAAUUAAAUAGAACACAAAUAACCAAGUAAGAUUAAUGAUCAUCCACAAAUUUCUAUAGAAAUGUGACAAAAUAAUUCAAAGAUGAAUGGGAACACUACAUUUAAUUCAUUGUGUCAUGAUCCAAAUGCAUAAAUAAUCUAAUGAGUGGUUGCAAAUGCCAACCAUAGAAUCAGUGAGCACACACAGAAAUCAUUCCGAUGUUUUCAUUUCUAGUUAACUCUUCAAUUGUCUUACAUAGAUGGAUGCUCACAGAAGCUCUUAGGAAGCAUCUUAGACACAGCAUUUUAUAAAACAUAGCAAGAACAUGAAUCAGAAUUAAGAAAAGGAGUGGUAAGUCUGACAUAUAUGCAAUGCUUAUAAAUUGCUAGGCACACUGGAAACUAAUGUUCAAACUUCAAGCCUAAAAUUUAUUAUAAUUAUAAUCUGAAGAACUGAGAAAGACAAAUAAAGUAUAAUUUGGUAAAAAAUAGUAACAAAUAAAAUUGAAGUAAUUUUAAUUAUUACUUUUAGUUUUACAAAUGGUAGACUAUAUUUACAGUAAUUUUGAUAUUCAAUUUAAUAUAAAAAUAUUUACAACUUAUGCAUAGUGCUUUGAAACUGCGUUAUUUUUCCAAAUAUACUUGACUACUCAGAUUAUUUCAGUUUUGUAUUUUAUGUUACUUUUGUUUCAUUCGAAAAUAUUUUUACUUUUAUUUAAAAUAUAUAUUAGCACUUUUAAGAUUUUCAGUUGAAAAAUCAUAUUCAAAAUAUACUGAAACAUUGACUAUCUUAGGGGCACAACAUCUUUAAAUUCACAUACAGACUAAGGUCUUCAACAAAGUAAAAUUGUAUUGCACGUGCAAGUGUGAUUGUCAGGGUGUGUUCUAUACUGCUUUUCAAGAAGGCUUUUACUGUGGAAAGCAUCUUUAACACAAUAAACAAGGUGUUUAACUUAUUCGAUAUAUGCCAUCAGUGUUAACUGGACUAACAAUUUUGUGCUCAUUCUAUUUGUUAGCAAUAAUGCUAAUUUCUCCUUUCUUAGUAGUUCCUGCUCAACUCUGCAAACUUUACUCACUGUGAAUUUUUUUGAUGUAGAUAUUUUAUGUAAGCAAGAUAAUGUAAUAUUUCUUUUGUAAAGAACUUAUUCCAAUUAUCAAAUUUAAGGUUACUUCACAUUGAAGGAUAAAUAACAGUAUUAUCAUUAAUCAUUUGUUUUAAUCAUUCAUUUUUAUGGACACAUAUUUUUUACUCUUUGGCUACUGUUAAUUAUUUCAAAAUGUAUAAUGUUGUCCAAAUAUGACUUGAUUCUCAGUUUUUAAUUCUUUGCAUUUUGGUUUAGAUGUUGAGCCACUAGGUUGUGUGGCAAUCUUUGUUGUGAUUCUUCUUCCCUUUUUAAAUAUGAUUUUUAAAUAAAUUGCUGCAUUGAUGUCCAUUACACCUACAUUUGUUUACUUUCCAUGAAGCAAUAUGUGGGACUUAUUUGACCAUAUUUGUAAUUUUCAAAUAAGUCUAAGUCACAGUCAAAAGUUGCUUAACUAUGAGGGUACAUUUGGACACAUACUCCACCAGAUGACUUCUCAUUGUAAUCAGGUAAAAAUGCAAACAAAAAUAGGCUGGAGACCAUGUCACUGCCCAAUGGAAUCUUAGUGGUUCAGUAGCAUACUUGCUAUCAUAAUAUUUGAAAUACUUGUACCAAUUGGAUGUUUCCCUUGAAUUUGAGUUGCAUCUCCUAAAUGUCUCAUAGUAUUGAUUGCUGUUCAGUAUAUUUACUGGACUCUUAAUAUCUUCUCUGGUGAACUUUCCAGUCUAAUAUUUGGCCAUCUUUAAAUUAGUUUGUCUUUUAAUAGGCAUGGGUGUGUUCUAUUUGAGGUAUUGUUUAUAUAUCUGUAACUGAAUUUAUAAUUUUCAAUUUUCUCCCAUAUUCUGGAGUGUCUUACCAAUCUCUUUUAUAGAAACUUUUACUAUAUUCAUUUCUUUGUGUGUGUAUGCACAACUCAGGAUAUGCGUUGAGGUCAAACAAAAAAGUUUAGAGUCAGGUUUUGCCUUUUACUAUAUUGGUUACAGAUAUUAAAUUGAUGUUGCCAGAUAUAAUAUAUGUGUGUGUGCAUGUAUAUAUGUAUGUAUAUAUAUAUAUAUAUAUAUAUAUAUAUGUGUGUGUGUGUGUGUGUGUGUGUGUGUGUGUGUGUAUGUAGUAUAUAAAGAUAUAUACAUAUAUAUCUUUGAGAAAGAAAAAAAUUAUUAUGAGGUAAGUAUAUUCUAUCUUUCUAUUAUUGCUUGUCAAUUUAGUGAUAAUUGAAUAAUUUAUUCUCCAACUCCAGGAAAUGAUGUUCUUUUCUUUAAAAUUUUAUAACUUUAUUUAAAGUAAUUUUGUGGAUGAUGUGAAAUGGAAAACCAUUCUAUCAGCACUGUCAGAAUACACUGCUCAUUGCUCUUUUAUUGAACACUUCUUCCUUGACUACAAUCAACUGAUCUUUUCAAUGUAUUCUUUCAGGCAUCCUGCUACUUUCCACUAGACUUUCUGUUACUCUAAUGAGAGUACCACAGCACUACAAUUGGAACUUAAUUAGCUUGUAAAGAGAAAGCCAAAGCAUGCCUUUUUCUCUUCUUCCACUUUCAUAAUCAAUAUUACUUUCAGUAUUUAGGAUACCUUGAAAUUCAAUGCUCAUGUGAUGUUUAACUUUUCAUUUCUGUUAACAAGGAAUUUCUGUUGGAAUAUCUGAGUGAUUCUAAGAAACUUAAAAUUGCAAUGUAUAAUAUCAAGAAAUUAACAGAUCUAGAGCUUAAAAUACAUAAACAUGAAUAUGCAUAUGUUUGUUCAUGAUAUUCUCCAAAUUAUCGUUGUUUCAGCAGUAUUAUUCAUUUUGAAUUAUUUCUUUUGGCAUAUAAAAAAACCCUCCAACUUUUAUUUUAGGCCUAUUCAUUUUUUGUACUUGGCCAAUGUUUGCUUUAGGUGGUUUUGGACUUUAUUUUUGUUCAGGUAAGUUAAUAACCAAAAUGCUUUCUUGAUCAAGUAUCCUUUCUAUCAACUUCAGUGUUCCUUUUCUCCUAUAACCAUCUUCACUUCAUGAUCAGGUCUCUAAUGGUACUGCAGUGAUCUCACUCUUUGUCGUUUGUUUGCAAUGAAAUAAUCUUUCAGGCACAGUCUGUUUGUUCGUUUCAAUACUGGAAAAGCAUGGAAACUUUAUUUAUUGUUUUCUUCUGUUUUUACCUGAUUUUUUGUUUGGAAAGAUUAAUUAAUUUUCAUUGAAAAUUAUCGAUGAGAACAGACAUAAAACACUACUCUUAUUUGAUUUUGUGUGUCUUUUAUCUUGCAAAAAACAACCCUGAAUUGCUUUUAAUGUAUAAAUGACUCUGAAUUUUGCAAUCUGUAAAAGAUUUCUUCCCUGGAUUUCACCAUUUUUAACCAUAAUCUCCCUUCAAACGUUGUAAGGUUAUUAGUUAAUCCUACUAUACUUUAGGACUAUCAAGGUCUACUAUAUCUCUGAACAGAGAACUGAUUUAGACAAAAUAUAGGUGAUUAUUUAAGCGCAUUCCUUCAGGUACUUUCAAAACCAUUUAGGAAAGACAGAAAGCAUAAGGCAUAUGUGAGGUCUGCUGUCCUUGCUCAGAAUGGGGAACAGUGUGUGAACAGGUGCAGAGGCAGAUACCAUGUCAAUAUUUCUAGUUAUACAAGUUAGGAGAUGUUGCCAUCCUGACAUCCUGUCAUCUCAAGUGUUCUGUCUUCACAGCAUUUAUUUAGUUGCUGUAACCUUUGACCUUUAUCUAGAUAUCUGGGUGCACUGGAUAUGACUGUUUUAGUUUCCUUUAAUAUAUCUGGAAGAAUUUAAACCGACCUGCUCACAUUCACAUUAGGCUAACAUUCUUGCAUGUUAGAUUCAAUGGCAUUUUUAAAUUAUACUGCAAUUGGAAAAAUAAAACCUGAAAGCCACAAGGUAAUAUGUUGUUAUCAUUAGAGUUAUAAUAUGUGAUAAUCUUUUAAAAAAAUGAGUUCAGCAUUUGCAUUUUCUAUGUGUAAAAUUGCUAUAUGGUUUUGCUUUUGUCAAACUCCCCACCCAAAAUUAGCCUGCCUUCAUGCUUUAUUUGCGGGUUCCAUUACAUCAAUUUCAUCCAAUUUGAAGUUUACUUCAAAGGACUAAUGCCAAAUAUUCUUCUGAAACUUAUUAAUGAACUUCAAUAGCAGUCAUUAUGAAAAUUAAUCUGUUACAAAUGUACAAACCAGCAAUUGCAUGUCAACACCCAUGUAAUCAGACUUAAAUAAUAUUUCUUGCAUUUCUUUUUUUUAAAUUAAGUAUUUUCUUUUUCUUGUGUUUCUAAAACAGGUAAUAAAAUGCUGUAUAUGGCUAUACAUCAUGACAAAAGCUACAAUAAUAUUAAAAUACAAUGUCUUCAAAAGCAUGAAAAUGAAAAUAUAUCUGCAUCAGUAAUUCAUACAUAAUCUUUAAUAAGAAAAUUCAUAUGUAAAAGUAUUUGUAAACCACAGGACAUUAAUUUUUGUAUAUUAUUGUAGUAAAUGUAUUCAUUGAUCUGUUUUGAGAUGUUUUCAGAUUUUUUGCUGUUAUCACUUAUAUUUAAGGGGAAAAAAAGGACAUUAGAGACAACUACAAACAAUAUGCCUAACUUGACAUUUUUUUACUCCAAGAAUUUGACAUGUAAAAGCAUUAGAGAAACAUUUAAAAAUUAAUGGGUCCAAGUUUUCCCAUAAAAAUUAAGAAAACAAUGCUGACACACUGAAAAUCAUGUUACUUUUCAUAACAGUUUAGGUUUAAACAUGUUUACUUGGAUAUGGUUGUUAAUAGUUUUAUUUGAAUGAAUUUUCAAAAGAAGUGCCUUAGAGAAGUGUUCAUGUAGACUCUUCAUCCACAAACAGACCUCUCUAGCAUUAUGAGGGUAACAUUUUAACAAGGAGGAUGUUACCUUAAGACUUCCUACUUUUGCAUCUAUUCAUUUAGCAUUUAAUGUCCUUGGUUGAUAUCCCACAAGUAGAUAUAUAGAAACAUAUACUUAAGGACAAGCCAAAUACUGAUGACUAAACUGAAUAACUAUAGGCAUAUCUUUGUGCAAGCAUAAGUAUUAGUAGGGAUUCGGGAGCCUGGAUUUGGAAAUGGAGUACAAACCAGCCAAAGGGCUCACUAAACAAGAGACAUAAAAAGAGUUCACAGAGUGGUGCUUCUUAAGGUAGGAAAAUGUAAUGACAUACCCACACAAUGACUACAUUAAAAGAACCACAAGAUGACAUGAUCCCACUUUGAGCUAAUGUAGUAACAUCAUCAACUCAAACCAUUCAUAGCUGUUGAUGUUAUUUAUGAAACUAUGCACUUGGAAUUCAGUUUCUUAGAGAUCAAUAAAAUGCUACUAAGCUAUGGGAUUUCUUCAAUGUGUAGUGGUGCAUUGGUUAUAAAGUCCAAGUAAUGUAUAUGUGCUACAUAAAUAAAUUGCAAUAAGAGCUCUAAACAGAAAGAAUGAAGGAUGACAUAUGUGAAUCAAGUAAAGACAUGAUUUGAUUAGGAUAGCAGAUAACAAAUUGAAAGAUGUGAUAAAAUGCAAAAUGUAUCAAUAGAACUGUAUUUCUUUAUCAUAUAUAUAUAUGUAUAUAUAUAUGUGUGUAUAUAUAUAUAUAUUAACAAAUAUACUUGUUAUACCAAACCAGUGAAUUGAACACUAUUUGAUGAUGGAUCCAGGCAUAAAGACAUUUUUGAUAGGAAUAAAAACAAUGUAUAAGUAAAAAAUUCUUAUAUUUUCUAUACUAUAUUAUGAAAAUAAUUAAUAUGUGGGAGACCAUAGAAAAUGGAUUAUAUGUGGCUAUAAGAAUCUGAAUUUAGACCAAAGAUUGAGGAUAAGACUGGGAGUACCAAAGAAUGUCUGGUAUAAAAAUGCUCUUAUUUUUUAGUGUAACUUGGAGAUUGAUAUUGAUGACAGUAAAUAUAUAGAGCUUGAGAGUUAGGCCUGAUUGUAUAUUCCUCUGAUUAUUACAAUUGGCUAUAUUGAAGUCCCAACAUCAAAAGAUUGGUUCUUGUCUUUCCUACAUAUCACGUUUGAGGACAGUAUGGGAUAUAUAAGACUCUAGCUGGAAGAAAGAGAACAACCAGAAAGAAUAAAAGAAAGAAUGCAAGAAAGUAUGGAUGGAAGGGAAGAGGGAAGGGAAAAUAAUCAUAAUUUGAACAUGAAAUUAUAUAUAAUUUUGUAUAAAGCAAAGUCUAGUUUAUCUUCCUUGAUGUUUAGUAGUCAUCCUCUUGCUCCACUCCAGGAACAGGAGCUUGUUUUCUGUCCUGAACUCAGUCAAAAAUAGCUACUCACAAUUCAUUUCUACUAUCCUCUCAAGGAUUGCUUUAGUUUACACAAAUACUUCAUAAGUUCUGCAUUCAAGAGUUGCUUAACUCUACUGUGUUUGGUGGAACACUGAAUGGGAAUUGAGUACAGUUGAAUUAGUUUAUAUAGGCUUAGCCUUUGUGGAGAGAUAACGUUCUAUUUCUGUAUUUCUAUUUCUAAUCUGUAUAUGACUUUAUGUUACAAAGUUUUUAUUUAUUUAAUAGUUUAUAUUCUCUUAAAAUUAAAAGUGUGAUAAAUUGUCCUUUCCCACUGAGGCCCAAGCAGCCAGUCCAGGUGAGGAUCAAAUGGCAGGCAACAGUCUGGAUCAUCCAUGUUGUGGCGGUACCUAAGAGGGCUCCUUUUCCUUGAGGCACAGAAGAAGGGACAGUGGGGAUAGGAAUUUGUAAGGGUGGGACUGAGAGAAGAAGAGGGAGGGAUGUGAAAUGAAUAAACUUAAUAAAUUAUUGGAAAAUGUGUUAAAUUGUCACUGUAACAUAUAAAUAAAUAUAAAGUAAUUUUUAAAAAAAAUUGAUGACAGACAUUUUCUCAAAUAAUUUUCUAUGGCACAAUUAUUUUUCUAAUGUUUCUUCUUUUUACUCACUGACAAAUAUCUGAUGCUCAAAAUUUUUGUAGGAUAAUUAUUUUUAUGAUGUACACUACAUGUGUAAAACUGAACUUUGCUGUUAUUUUGUAUCUUUGAUUUUGAAGUCUAAACAUCAUGCUUAUUUUUUGUAACCUGAAGCAUCAAAAUAGCCAACAUUCUUAUCGUUUGUCCAGUACAUUUGUUGAAACAAUAUAAUUUGAUCCCUAUAUAUUCUCUUUCUCUUUUUAGUAAACUAUUACUUUCUUCUA